CAGUAGCCGCGGUAAUACGUAGGGGGCGAGCGUUGUCCGGAAUUACUGGGCGUAAAGGGUUCGCAGGCGGCAUGACAAGUCCGAUGUAAAAGGCGAAAGCUCAACUUUCGUAAGCAUCGGAAACUGUCAAGCUUGAGUGAAGGAGAGGCAAGUGGAAUUCCUAGUGUAGCGGUGGAAUGCGUAGAUAUUAGGAGGAAUACCGGUGGCGAAGGCGACUUGCUGGACUUCAACUGACGCUGAGGAACGAAAGCGUGGGUAGCAAACAGGAUUAGAUACCCGGGUAGUCCCUGUCUCUUAUACA
Molecule: ribosomal RNA, 301 nt
Filed under: uncultured bacterium
Lineage: Bacteria
Description: partial 16S ribosomal RNA
Rfam family: Bacterial small subunit ribosomal RNA
Source: RNAcentral